RNAcentral lists this transfer RNA (73 nucleotides) under Paulinella micropora. It matches the Rfam family "tRNA". Rfam says of the family: Transfer RNA (tRNA) molecules are approximately 80 nucleotides in length. The record is from Rfam by way of RNAcentral. Lineage: Eukaryota; Cercozoa; Imbricatea; Euglyphida; Paulinellidae.
AAUGCGAUAGUUUAAUUGGUUAAAAUAUUGAAUUCAUAAUUCAAUGUUGCGGGUUCAAUCCCCGCUCGCGUUA